Molecule: ribosomal RNA, 253 nt
Filed under: uncultured bacterium
Lineage: Bacteria
Description: partial 16S ribosomal RNA
Rfam family: Bacterial small subunit ribosomal RNA
Source: RNAcentral
UACGUAGGGUGCGAGCGUUAUUCGGAAUUACUGGGCGUAAAGCGUGCGCAGGCGGUUCGUUAAGUUCGUUGUGAAAGCCCCGGGCUCAACCUGGGAACUGCAAUGGAAACUGGCGGGCUUGAAUGCGGCAGAGGGGGGUGGAAUUCCGCGUGUAGCAGUGAAAUGCGUAGAGAUGCGGAGGAACACCGAUGGCGAAGGCAGCCCCCUGGGCCGACAUUGACGCUCAGGCACGAAAGCGUGGGGAGCAAACAGG